Molecule: ribosomal RNA, 326 nt
Filed under: uncultured bacterium
Lineage: Bacteria
Description: bacterial SSU rRNA
Rfam family: Bacterial small subunit ribosomal RNA
Source: RNAcentral
AUUGAACGCUGGCGGCAUGCCUUACACAUGCAAGUCGAACGGCAGCACGGGAGCAAUCCUGGUGGCGAGUGGCGAACGGGGUGAGUAAUAUAUCGGAACGUGCCCAGUCUGGGGGAUAACGUAGCGAAAGCUACGCUAAUACCGCAUACGAUCUAUGGAUGAAAGCGGGGGGAUCGCAAGACCUCGCGCGAUUGGAGCGGCCGAUAUCAGAUUAGGUAGUUGGUGNGGUAAAGGCUCGCCAAGCCGACGAUCUGUAGCUGGUCUGAGAGGACGACCAGCCACACUGGGACUGAGACACGGCCCAGACUCCUACGGGAGGCAGCAGU